This 70-nucleotide transfer RNA is filed under the name marine eukaryotic metagenome. The stretch from base 4 to 65 matches the Rfam family "tRNA", at positions 6 to 65 of the family's 71-position model. Rfam says of the family: Transfer RNA (tRNA) molecules are approximately 80 nucleotides in length. Their secondary structure includes four short double-helical elements and three loops (D, anti-codon, and T loops). The record is from RNAcentral.
AAGAGUAGCAAAGAUGGUCAAUGCGCUGGACUGAAAAUCCAGAGAUAUAGGUUCGAGUCCUAUCUGUUCC